UCAUGGCCAGCAGGUUGAGGGAGGCGAUAUCUCUCCUUUUCCUUGCCCUGGUGAAGCCACAUGUGGAAUUCCAUAUCCAGGUCUGGGAUCCCCAGUUCAAGCAACACAGGGAACUUCUAGAGAGAGCCCAGUGGGAGGCCACUAAGGUCGUUAGGGGCAUGGAGCAUCUCCUGUAUGCAGACAGGCUGAGAGUGUGGGACUGUUCAGCCUGGUGAAGAGUGGUCUGAGAGGAGGAUGUUAUAAAUAUCUAAUGGGUGGGAGUCAUGCAGAUGCAGCCCUGACCCUGGCAGCUCCCCGAGUCCCAGCGCUCACCCAAUCUCUUCCCUGGGGGACGUGUCCCCACCCAGCUCACCUCUGCUGCUGUACGUGCGCCCGUGGGGCCCUGGCUGCCUGAGCCAGGCAGGACAGGGAAAUGCAGGUGAUGGCUGUAGGGACAGGCAGCGAGAGCUGCUGCCAGCAGUGCCCAGAGCACAGCCCAGCACCCAAGACAAAUCUCGCUCCACCUCCAACCUCGCACACGCGCUCGGCAGGAGUCCAGGCUCGAGACUGACUGGGCCAGGCUCUGCCCGCACCCAAAGCUGAGCAGUGAUGGUGCUGCAGUCACAGUGCAUCUCUUGGUGACAUCACAGCCUGUUGCUCGGUGAUGUCACCACUGUCUUUUGGCCUACACAGAAUUCGCUCCAGCAGGACUUAGCAUUUUUGUGUCCAUAUAUGCUUUUAAGGCAACUGCAGUGCCAUUUCCAGGCACUGCCCCUCCCUAUCAAUGCCUUUCUUGUUCUCCUGUUCCUCGUGUUUUCUGGUAGCUCUGAGGCCUGGCCUGUGCCUUCUCAGGGGCCUGAUAGGUGCUCUUGUCUCUCUCUUUUUUGUUUUCCAUAUACCAAGAAGAGCUCUGAAAACAUGUUAUUCCAUUGAAUUGAACACCUAUGAUUCUGUGGUUCUGAUUCUGUGUAAUACAGUCCAUUGUCCUCCUUGUGUUUUUGGCCAUACAGUGGACAAUAUCACAAUUUGUGUUACCUGCUGCAGUUUGUAUAAUUCCAUACACUCUGUCUCCUCUCUUCUCUGACUUUGGAUUCUCCACAUAUCUGCAGUGUCAGUGCACUGUCUACACACUGUAGGACUCCCUCUGAGCCAGGAAAGCAAGAAAUCAAAGCAAGCAAAGAUAUCAUAUAAAUGGAGUCAACAACGCCUGUGCAUUUGGAAAGGCUAGUAACUGUGGUUCAAGAUGCUUGCAUUUAAUAUGAAAUACAAGACUGUUCUAAUCCAGCCUUGUCAAGUCCCAGAGUCUUAUACUGCCUUCAUUUUUGCCACAGAUUCUAAAAACAGCAUAUUAAGUGGAAAGGAUCUCUGAACAACAAGAAAAGCCAAGUCAGCCUUUCAAAUGACACUAGACCAUGAUGUGAUGUGAAUUAAAAAAAAAAAAAACAAAAAAACACCACCCUGUUUGCAAUGGAAGAAACUAUGGAAUUCAAAAGCA
Molecule: non-coding RNA, 1474 nt
Organism: Phasianus colchicus (ring-necked pheasant)
Lineage: Eukaryota; Metazoa; Chordata; Aves; Galliformes; Phasianidae
Source: RefSeq, a predicted model, not a curated record